UUUUCUUGGCUUAGUAAGAUCAAAUGUCAUACAAGAAAUUGCAAAUUGUGUGUAGCGUUUUUUUCCUGAGAAACCUGAGGGUCUUCAAGUUUUUGUUCUAACAGCUAAUGUUAAUUGCAAAGUGACUCCAGACAGCAUAACUUGGCAGUGAAGCAAAGAGGAAGAUACUCAGAGAGCACUAUUGAAGAGAUCUAUAGCACAUAAAACCAUUAUGAUGAAAGGCCAGCAAAGCAGAUGUCAGGCUGAGUACUGAGAUCAAUGUGAAACUGGAAAUCCACAGUAUGCAGGAACUGCAAACCUCUGAGCUUCAACCAGACUCAAAGCUUUUUGGGGGAGAAAUGGUGCUAGAGUUCUCUCUGAUGCCUGCUGUAUGAACCUUUGGGCCUUAGAAGCCCUGGGACCCAGCCUAACUCUACAGCUGCUAAAAUGGAUUUUGGUACAUUCAUUUCUUGUUCAUCUUCAUCAGCCUUCAUCACAAUAAGUAAUGUAUGUAGUAUUUCCUGAUGAAGUCAGAAGACUGAAG
Long non-coding RNA from Tupaia belangeri chinensis (Chinese tree shrew), 523 nucleotides. RefSeq lists it as uncharacterized. NCBI's taxonomy places the organism in Eukaryota, Metazoa, Chordata, Mammalia, Scandentia, Tupaiidae. The record is from RefSeq and is a predicted model, not a curated record. The transcript has 4 exons.